This 248-nucleotide ribosomal RNA is filed under the name uncultured Pseudomonadota bacterium. RNAcentral describes it as "uncultured proteobacterium partial 16S ribosomal RNA". It matches the Rfam family "Bacterial small subunit ribosomal RNA", at positions 796 to 1041 of the family's 1533-position model. The record is from RNAcentral. Lineage: Bacteria; Pseudomonadati; Pseudomonadota.
CACACCGUAAACGAUGUGUGCUAGUUGUCGGGUAGUUUACUAUUCGGUGACGGAGCUAACGUUUUAAGCACACCGCCUGGGAAGUACGGCCGCAAGGUUAAAACUCAAAGGAAUUGACGGGGACCCGCACAAGCGGUGGAACAUGUCCUUUAAUUCGUAGCAACGCGAAGAACCUUACCUACCCUUGACAUGCCAGUUGGGAUUUCCAGAGAUGGAUUUCUUCAUUUAGUUGGACUGGACACAGGUGC